CCCUUAGAUGUUCUGGGCCGCACGCGUGCUACACUGAUGCAUUCAACGAGUCUAAAACCUGGUCUGAUAGGGCUGGGUAAUCUUUUGAAAGUGCAUCGUGAUUGGGAUAGAUGAUUGCAAUUCUUCAUCUUCAACGAGGAAUGCCUAGUAAACGCAAGUCAUCAGCUUGCAUUGAUUACGUCCCUGCCCUUUGUACACACCGCCCGUCGCUGCAACUGAUUGGGUGACCUGGUGAACAUCUUGGACCGGCCCACCCAAUUUCGAGAGGACUGGAAAAGGCCGUAAAUCAGGUACAUCUAGAAAUUGCAAAAGUCGUAACA
This 320-nucleotide ribosomal RNA is filed under the name uncultured eukaryote. RNAcentral's name for it is "partial 18S ribosomal RNA". It matches the Rfam family "Eukaryotic small subunit ribosomal RNA", at positions 1470 to 1796 of the family's 1831-position model. The record is from RNAcentral.